UAAAUACUCCCUCCGUCUCAAAAUUCUUGUCUUAGAUUUGUCUAGAUACGGAUGUAUCUAACACUAAACCAUGACUAGAUACAUCCGUAUGUAGAUAAAUCCAAGACAAGAAUUUUGGGACGGAGAGAGUAUCAU
Triticum aestivum (bread wheat) is the source of this 135-nucleotide non-coding RNA. The record is from Rfam. NCBI's taxonomy places the organism in Eukaryota, Viridiplantae, Streptophyta, Magnoliopsida, Poales, Poaceae.